GAGGUCCAAAACUCUGAGACAAAAAAGUGAGAGAAGGACUAGAAGCCCCAGUGAAGUUGAAGAAAAAAUGGAAUAAAAACACAAAGAAAUGAGGUACUGGCAGGAUGGAGAUUUGUGUUCAGAUGUUGAAAUAUUUUCCUUAUUUAACUUUUCAGCAAUGGAGAAAUUCCAGGAUGUCUGAAGCAAUCAAGAUAUUAAUACCUUAGCAUCCAUUGCCAUAAGAACAUGUCAUUCCUUCGUCCAAGAUUUAUGCUACGUAAUAGGGAUGCAAUGAUGGAAAAAAAGAACACAACAGCAAUGAUAAAACCUACAUAAUACACUAACUAGCACAAGUAAGAAUUUCCAUGAAAUUCAAGUAGUAAUGGGAGAAGCACACCAUGCAAUUUAAGAAGAGGCACAGAGUGACCUUCACAUUUCAUUUGGAUUACAGAACCUCAUGCUAGGCAACUGUCUUCUACCACUGGAACAAAAAACCUAGAGAUUACAACCCUGAGAAGGAGGAUCCGCAGGGAUCUGGCCUGGAGAACACCAGAAAUAGGCUGUCGACAUGCUGUAAAAUGUUCUCUCGUGAUGCUGGGCAUCAACAGCGAGCAACAGCUCCCACUCAGCCCCACGAUCAUGAGGCUUGUGUGCACGGCUGACGAUCCUGAACUACCUUUCUACAGGCUGAAUUCCACACUAACACUGCUGGAGGAAUUAGAACACGUCGAAGCAUGAAAGGCUAGAAUGCAGACAUGGGAGCAACUCAACAUCAAACAUGCAGAUGAUGACAACUAACCCGUAGGGAAUAGUAGAACAACAAAAUGGCAGAAACCUGUGUCCUUAAGAGACUCCAUGGAUCAGAGCCACUCUGCUAACCUAGGCCAGCCCAAAUAAAACGUGUCUGAGAAAUAAACUUAUUUAACCUUCUGUA
Molecule: long non-coding RNA, 913 nt
Filed under: Equus caballus (horse)
Lineage: Eukaryota; Metazoa; Chordata; Mammalia; Perissodactyla; Equidae
Description: lncRNA (ENSECAG00000033653.3)
Source: RNAcentral